Molecule: ribosomal RNA, 535 nt
Filed under: uncultured bacterium
Lineage: Bacteria
Description: bacterial SSU rRNA
Rfam family: Bacterial small subunit ribosomal RNA
Source: RNAcentral
CUCCUACGGGAGGCAGCAGUGGGGAAUAUUGGACAAUGGGGGAAACCCUGAUCCAGCGACGCCGCGUGUGUGAAGAAGGCCUGCGGGUUGUAAAGCACUUUUAGUGGGGAUGAAAAGCUCAGGGCUAAUACUCCUGGGUCUUGACCUAACCCAAAGAAAAAGCACCGGCUAACUCUGUGCCAGCAGCCGCGGUAAUACAGAGGGUGCGAGCGUUAAUCGGAAUUACUGGGCGUAAAGCGUGCGUAGACGGUUAUUUAAGUCGGGUGUGAAAGCCCCGGGCUCAACCUGGGAAUUGCAUUCGAGACUGAAUAGCUAGGGUGCGGAAGAGGGAAGCGGAAUUUCCGGUGUAGCGGUGAAAUGCGUAGAUAUCGGAAGGAACAUCAGUGGCGAAAGCGGCUUCCUGGUCCAGCACCGACGUUCAGGCACGAAAGCGUGGGGAGCAAACAGGAUUAGAUACCCUGGUAGUCCACGCCAUAAACGAUGAGAACUAGACGUUGAGAGGGUUAGCCUCCCAGUGUCGUAGCUAACGCGCUAA